ACUGAACCCUUUCUUUAUUCCUAACACAUGCAAGUCGAACGGCAGCACAGUAAGAGCUUGCUCUUACGGGUGGCGAGUGGCGGACGGGUGAGGAAUACAUCGGAAUCUACUUUUUCGUGGGGGAUAACGUAGGGAAACUUACGCUAAUACCGCAUACGACCUACGGGUGAAAGCAGGGGAUCUUCGGACCUUGCGCGAUUGAAUGAGCCGAUGUCGGAUUAGCUAGUUGGCGGGGUAAAGGCCCACCAAGGCGACGAUCCGUAGCUGGUCUGAGAGGAUGAUCAGCCACACUGGAACUGAGACACGGUCCAGACUCCUACGGGAGGCAGCAGUGGGGAAUAUUGGACAAUGGGCGCAAGCCUGAUCCAGCCAUACCGCGUGGGUGAAGAAGGCCUUCGGGUUGUAAAGCCCUUUUGUUGGGAAAGAAAAGCAGCAGGUUAAUACCCCGCUGUUCUGACGGUACCCAAAGAAUAAGCACCGGCUAACUUCGUG
Molecule: ribosomal RNA, 492 nt
Filed under: uncultured bacterium
Lineage: Bacteria
Description: partial 16S ribosomal RNA
Rfam family: Bacterial small subunit ribosomal RNA
Source: RNAcentral